RNAcentral lists this ribosomal RNA (447 nucleotides) under uncultured organism. RNAcentral describes it as "partial 16S ribosomal RNA". It matches the Rfam family "Bacterial small subunit ribosomal RNA", at positions 335 to 798 of the family's 1533-position model. The record is from RNAcentral.
ACUCCUGCGGGAGGCAGCAGUGGGGAAUAUUGGACAAUGGGCGCAAGCCUGAUCCAGCCAUGCCGCGUGAGUGAUGAAGGCCCUAGGGUUGUAAAGCUCUUUCACCGGUGAAGAUAAUGACGGUAACCGGAGAAGAAGCCCCGACUAACUUCGUGCCAGCAGCCGCGGUAAUACGAAGGGGGCUAGCGUUGUUCGGAUUUACUGGGCGUAAAGCGCACGUAGGCGGACUAUUAAGUCAGGGGUGAAAUCCCGGGGCUCAACCCCGGAACUGCCUUUGAUACUGGAAGUCUUGAGUUCGAGAGAGGUGAGUGGAAUUCCGAGUGUAGAGGUGAAAUUCGUAGAUAUUCGGAGGAACACCAGUGGCGAAGGCGGCUCACUGGCUCGAUACUGACGCUGAGGUGCGAAAGCGUGGGGAGCAAACAGGAUUAGAUACCCUAGUAGUCCCAU